GACGAACGUUGGCGGCGUGCCUAAUACAUGCAAGUCGAACGGUCUUUUCUAUGGAAGCUUGCUUCCACUGAGAAGAUAGUGGCGAACGGGUGAGUAACACGUGGGUAACCUGCCCAUAAGAGGGGGAUAACAUCCGGAAACGGGUGCUAAUACCGCAUAGUUUUCUUGAUCGCAUGAUUGAGAAAGGAAAGACGGCCUUUGUGCUGUCGCUUAUGGAUGGACCCGCGGCGUAUUAGUUAGUUGGUGAGGUAAUGGCUCACCAAGACGAUGAUACGUAGCCGACCUGAGAGGGUGAUCGGCCACAUUGGGACUGAGACACGGCCCAAACUCCUACGGGAGGCAGCAGUAGGGAAUCUUCCGCAAUGGACGAAAGUCUGACGGAGCAACGCCGCGUGAGUGAAGAAGGUUUUCGGAUCGUAAAACUCUGUUGUCAGAGAAGAACAAGUUGGAGAGUAACUGCUCCAGCCUUGACGGUAUCUGACCAGAAAGCCACGGCUAACG
RNAcentral lists this ribosomal RNA (501 nucleotides) under uncultured bacterium. RNAcentral describes it as "bacterial SSU rRNA". It matches the Rfam family "Bacterial small subunit ribosomal RNA", at positions 28 to 502 of the family's 1533-position model. The record is from RNAcentral.